GGGGGGGCUCAGCCCUGUGCUGCCCUCCCACACUGUCUCUUCUCCAGGGUGAGCAAGGGCUGCUGGGAGCCCCAGGACAAGCAGGACCACCCGGCCCCCUGGUAAGUCGGCGUGGGUGAGCCCUGUGGACCCUGGCGUCCCGACUGGGUGCAGCCCGGGGAGCUUGACACCCUCUUUGCCUCUUGCAGGGCCCCGUGGGUUUGCCUGGCCUCAAGGGAGACCCUGGCCACAAGGGAGAUAAGGGCCACGCUGGACUGAUCGGGCUCAUCGGACCUCCAGGAGAGAUGGGGGAGAAAGGAGACCAGGGGCUGCCGGGCAUCCAGGGCCCCCCAGGACCCAAAGGAGACCCUGGUUUGGCUGGACCCACAGGUCCCACUGGCCCCCCAGGGCCCCCUGGGCUCUCGGUGAGUAUCUGCCCGCACCGUCCAGAUACACCAAGCUUCAGCUGCACGUUGUCCUGCACAUCCCAGGGCCUCCGGUCUACCCUUAGCGCCCCUGCAGUCCCGGGGGGCCUCUCUCCCCAGGACGGGUGAGGGGGCAGAGGGGAAACCGAGGCACAAGGGAGGGUGGAGGGUGGCUUCCCCAUGGCGCACAACCACUGCACGGCUGGGGAGCUGGUUGCAGCAGCCAGCACCUCUCUCCUGUCUCCUCUUCCCCCCAGGGACCCUUGGGCCAGACGGG
RNAcentral lists this long non-coding RNA (681 nucleotides) under Struthio camelus australis. RNAcentral's name for it is "lncRNA (ENSSCUG00000003753.1)". Lineage: Eukaryota; Metazoa; Chordata; Aves; Struthioniformes; Struthionidae. The record is from RNAcentral.